CCCUUAGAUGUUCUGGGCCGCACACGCGCUACACUGAAGGAGGCAGCGUGUACUCCUGGAUCGAAAGAUUUGGGUAACCCGCGAAUCUCCUUCGUGCUAGGGAUUGAGGUUUGCAAUUAUCCUUCAUGAACGAGGAAUUCCCAGUAAGUGCAAGUCAUAAGCUUGCGCUGACUACGUCCCUGUCCUUUGUACACACCGCCCGUCGCUACUACCGAUUGAAUGAUUUAGUGAGGACUUCGGACUGGGACCGAUGCGGCUUUCGGGCUGCGUCGGUAUUCUGGAAAGAUGUCCAAACUGUNUNAUUUAUNGGAAGUAAAANUCGUANCA
Molecule: ribosomal RNA, 327 nt
Filed under: uncultured eukaryote
Lineage: Eukaryota
Description: partial 18S ribosomal RNA
Rfam family: Eukaryotic small subunit ribosomal RNA
Source: RNAcentral